RNAcentral lists this ribosomal RNA (503 nucleotides) under uncultured bacterium. RNAcentral describes it as "partial 16S ribosomal RNA". It matches the Rfam family "Bacterial small subunit ribosomal RNA", at positions 28 to 523 of the family's 1533-position model. The record is from RNAcentral.
GACGAACGCUGGCGGCAUGCUUAACACAUGCAAGUGGAGCGACGAACCUUUUUGGGGCAAAGCCGCGAACGGGUGAGUAACACGUGGGCAAUCUGCCCCGAUGACUGGAAUAACUCGAGGAAACUCGUGCUAAUACCGGAUGUGCCAUUCCCUCACAAGAGGGCCUGGUAAAGGGAGCUUCGUCUAUCCGCCUCGGGAGGAGCCUGCGGCGAAUUAUCUAGUUGGUGGGGUAAAGGCCUACCAAGGCGACGAUGCGUAGCUGGUCUGGGAGGACGAUCAGCCACACUGGAACUGAGACACGGUCCAGACUCCUACGGGAGGCAGCAGUGGGGAAUCUUGCACAAUGGGCGACAGCCUGAUGCAGCAAUGCCGCGUGAGGGAAGACGGCCUUCGGGUUGUAAACCUCUUUCAGUUGGGAAGAAGGUCGGACGGUGAAUAGCCGCGUCGACUGACGGUACCUUCAGAAGAAGCCCCGGCUAACUACGUGCCAGCCGCCGCCGUAA